Molecule: ribosomal RNA, 492 nt
Filed under: uncultured bacterium
Lineage: Bacteria
Description: partial 16S ribosomal RNA
Rfam family: Bacterial small subunit ribosomal RNA
Source: RNAcentral
AGUGAACGCUGGCGGUAGGCCUAACACAUGCAAGUCGAACGGCAGCACAGUAAGAGCUUGCUCUUACGGGUGGCGAGUGGCGGACGGGUGAGGAAUACAUCGGAAUCUACUUUUUCGUGGGGGAUAACGUAGGGAAACUUACGCUAAUACCGCAUACGACCUACGGGUGAAAGCAGGGGAUCUUCGGACCUUGCGCGAUUGAAUGAGCCGAUGUCGGAUUAGCUAGUUGGCGGGGUAAAGGCCCACCAAGGCGACGAUCCGUAGCUGGUCUGAGAGGAUGAUCAGCCACACUGGAACUGAGACACGGUCCAGAAUCCUACGGGAGGCAGCAGUGGGGAAUAUUGGACAAUGGGCGCAAGCCUGAUCCAGCCAUACCGCGUGGGUGAAGAAGGCCUUCGGGUUGUAAAGCACUUUUGUUGGGAAAGAAAAGCAGCAGGUUAAUACCCCGCUGUUCUGACGGUACCCAAAGAAUAAGCACCGGCUAACUUCGUG